Molecule: long non-coding RNA, 1028 nt
Filed under: Phasianus colchicus (ring-necked pheasant)
Lineage: Eukaryota; Metazoa; Chordata; Aves; Galliformes; Phasianidae
Description: lncRNA (ENSPCLG00000016602.1)
Source: RNAcentral
GUCCCAAUGCCCAGUGCAGGUUUGUCUCCUGCAGUGAUCCAUGUCCGCACAGUUCCUCCGCUGCUGGGAACAGAAGCACCUUCCUCAACCACCAGCACAGCAGCUGAUGAUGAUGCAUUGGUGCAGCCUCACCGUGUUGGCACCGCAGAAGGGACACCGGGGAGAGCACAGACCGUGGUGCUGUCUGAUGUCCAACACAGCACAGGGACAUCACCCCACUCCCUCACCUGGAGCCCAGCUGAGCUGCACACAGCCACUGUGCGCCUGUCCCAGGAGGUGACACCAGGGCUGGACGAGGCCACCUCUCCUCUUGUCACAGCAGCCAGUAUGACUGCGGGGAACACCGAGCCUGCAUCAACCUCGUCUGACCGUGUCACAUCUCCCACUGUGCCAGCAGCCACAGGGUCACCCCAUCGUGUUGGAAUACAGAAAUCAAGGGCCGUGAUCCCCCCAGGCACAGCCCCAGCAACAAUCACUCCUUCUCCUGCCAUUGACGGUGUCAGUGAGGCCACAGCCCCAGGGCUGCCAGCCCCCGGAACGUCUGGAGAUGGACUGCACAGAGACACAGCCAUCACCCAUGCCAGUGUCACCUCUCAGCUGCAUGCCACCACCGCAGCAGCUCAGGGCACGUCAGCCACGGCCAUGGAUGUCAGCACUGCACCGCAUGUAUCCACCGCCCCGUAUGCAGCCCUGGGCAGUGCUGAGAUGAUGUCCAUCACCACUGCUGAAGCCACCACAGGCACUGCUGCCCUGCAGACCGAGCACACCCCAAAAGGGCUGGGUAUGGGGACAGCCGCCAGCGUGGCUGCUGCUGUGUCACUCUCAGAUGGUGUCCCUGGAGGAGGGUACAGCACCAGUACCCGGGCAGUGAGAGGUGCCUCUGCUGCCCACCCCAGUGGUAGCUCAUCUGGAUGGGUAGGUAGGACUGUGAGUCCAAGUUUUGGCUCUGAGUCAUAUGGACCAGCCAUGGGCACGCUGUCAGCAUCUCUACAUGAUCCCAUGGAGUAUUGGACGAGCCCCCCAGUGCC